Molecule: ribosomal RNA, 293 nt
Filed under: uncultured bacterium
Lineage: Bacteria
Description: partial 16S ribosomal RNA
Rfam family: Bacterial small subunit ribosomal RNA
Source: RNAcentral
GUGUCAGCAGCCGCGGUAAUACAUAGGGAGCAAGCGUUAUCCGGAAUGAUUGGGCGUAAAGCGUCUGUAGGUGGUUCAAAAAGUCUAUUGUCAAAUACGUUGGCUUAACCAACGGCAGGCAUUAGAGUACUGUUGGACUAGAGUUCGGUAGAGGUAGAGGGAAUCCCUAGCGUAACAGUGAAAUGUGUAGAUUUUAGGGAGAACACCAGCGGCGAAGGCGCUCUACUGGGCCGUAACUGACACUGAGAGACGAAAGCUAGAGGAGCGAAAAGGAUUAGAUACCCUUGUAGUCC